UCUAUGUAUAUUAGUUAUUAUAACUAUUUUAAUUAUAAUUUCUAUAAUAAUAUAUUAAUGCUUGUGAAUCUCAUCUCUUAGCUUGACAAUUUUUUUUUUUUGUAUUUUGUCUUAAAAAUUCUUACUAGAACGAUAACCAUACGACUUUUUUAUAACAUUUAUAAUGAAAUGCUAUUAUAAUAUAACUAAUGUACUGAAACUUUAAGUAACAGUCUAAGAUCCGGCUGCGAAAUAAGUAUAUUCGUCGUGUAGGUAAUCAAACUCAAAAUUUUACAUACAUCUAUGAAUGCAUUGAUAGCAGGUUGCCAGUCGCAAAAUGUCUAAAUAUACUUUUAAUUAAAACAAUAUUUAUUAAUUUUCGCAAGAAAAAAUCGUUGAUUUUAGUUUUAUAUAUAUAUAUAUAUAUAUAUAUAUAUAUAUAUAUAUAUACAUACAUACUGGCUACCUUAAAUUGAAAAGUGUUAAACAUUUCUUUUUUUACAAAUUUUAAGUGAAGUCUGCGUUCAUCAACAUAUAUUUAUUUUGUAUAUAAAUGGACACAAAAUUCCAGUGACGUAUAUACAUUACAUGUGCGAAUAGAAAAAAAAAAAUAAGAAAGGCAUCGACGGUCAAGCUAGAGAAAUUAUUUAUAAAGUGAAAAAAAAUUGACAGUGAAAAGCAGAAUAUGCGUACUUAGUACGUGUUUACUGCAUUAUAUGCACGACAAGUGAACGUUGUGCAUAAUGAGCACCAAAACAUGAUCAGAAUAUAAGAAUAUCUUAACUGCCCUGAUGAGAACCCCAUCGCGACGCUGGCGCAAUAGCUUUAAAGUUUCGCACAGCUGGGAUUCCCCAGCCUUGUCUAACGAAUGGCGUUGCGUGCUAACUCUCUUUCGCUUUAUCUUUGAUAAAAUAGCGUUUUCAACAAAUGUAUAUUAAAAUUUAAGUUUGAUCACUUACGUGAUCAAUGUACUGAUUUUGCAGCCGGAUCCCAUACUACGUAUAAGAAAAUAUUUUAAAAAAUAUUUCAAAUUUGAAUUAUUAAAACGGUUUUUGUUUUGAUAGCAGCCAUUUUUACUUACAAUUUUGCUCUACUGUCUUCAUUUUACAUAUUAUUUAUUUUAAUUUGAGAACAAAAAUAAUGAUUUUUUUUAAAUCUUAUUUCUUAUAAGAUUUCCAUAGCGAUAUACUUAAAAACAAAGAUUAUCUUAAUUGUAACUACGUACAAAUGACUUCUAGUUUAGAUGUAACUUUUAUAAAUCUAGAUAUAUAUUCUAACAUAUAAUACAACAUUCAGACUAAUGAUGACUUCUUUCAUAUAGACUGACUUUCCUAUGAGAAAUCGACUGUCCCUACGUAUAAUAUCGAAAUUGAAAAAAGGCACUUUACAUUUUUUACGCUGAAUGAUUUGUUAAGUAUCGAUAAUGAGUAUAAACUCAUGAAAAAUGUGAUUUUUUUGUGUAUUUUAUAGCAUUUUCUCUUUUUUUCUUUGAAAAUAUACAUAAAAAGUAUUUUUUCAUGCAAUAAAAAAAUAGAAUUUUUUUAGUUUCGAUACUGUACUUAGGGACAGUCGAAAUACAAAGGAAAUAUGACGUCAAAGGGUGUCAUUGUCACUGUUAGAAUAACGAUAUUAAAGAUUUUUUAUACGAAUGAGCGUUAAAAGUGUAAUGAAAUACAAAAUGUCGGUCAGUUUUAAAUAAAAUAGAAUUUUGAAAUAGAAAAUAGUAUAGAGAGGUCGAUAUCAAUUAAAUAAUAUUAGUAAUGAGUGUUAUUUGUAUAUUUUUGUACUACAUAUACAUAGAAGAUAUUGUCUGUCCAGACGAAGCCUUUAAAAGUAUAUUCAUAUUAAAUAUCAAUCAUUGGUCUUAACUCUGUUUGAAAUACCGAUAGAUACCGAUACCGAACUUAUACUACGCCAACUCGAAUUCUCGAUAAGUUGGUUUUUUAAUGCGAACUUGAUAAAAUGUGUUUUUAUAUCUAAUAAAAAAAUUGUAAAAUUGCAAUGAAUAAAUUAACUAUUAAAGAUACCAAAUUGCAAAUAAGUUUCUUAAUAUAAAAGGUAUCACGUUUUUACCUAUUAUAAGUCUCUAUUGCAGUGUUUCCCAAAGUGGGCGAUAACGCCCCCUUGUGGGCGCUGCAGUACUAAUGGGGAGACCAGAAAAAAAAAAUGGUGCCGUUGUGUAGAGGCUUGGGGGGCGAUUUAUCAUUUAAUCUAUUAGGACUCUCGACUACAACUUGUGAACAUCAACUAAUAUUCAUUAAAAGAUUGCUCAAAGGGGGCACUAUAAAAUAAUUUAUUCUCUUUGUGGGCUGUAAACAAAAUAAGUUUGGGAACCCCUGCUCUAAUGUAAAGUUCUCUUUUAUGAGUUAGCUUAGUAUAAAUUGCUGGUGUCGAUUUGAGACUUGUCUUUAUUAAUAAAAAGUUAAAACAAAGUCAAUUAUCAAACUUCUAAAUAUUACAAUAUACAAUACAUUAGACAAUAAUAAAAUAAAUUUUAAUGGUAAUUAUACACAGAUAUUUUGCUAGAAACAUCAAUUUUCUAAGACACACAACUUUUAUCAAUGAACAUGCACACGUACGAAUAAGUCUUUAUUGUAUAAUUAAAAUUAAAAAUGCUUUUUUUUUACUUUUUUAAAUUGUCUGGACAGACAAACAUCGGAAGAAGAAAAGAAAUAAAAUGUAUGGAAACGUAGAUUAACAUGCUGACCAGAUAUGUCAUGAAUAAGUAAUUGACAACUUGGAUUUAUAUUCAAAUAUAUAUUGUUUAUUCAAUUCUAUAUCGAUUAUCCAAGCUUUUUAUACAUUUUAGAUAACCAGUAAUUCGAAUGAAUGCAAUGUCAAAAAAUGUUAACUUUUUCUGUAUUAUUAAGAUAAAAAUAAUGGUCUUGAUUUAAGGUGUCAUUACGAGUUACUGUCAUAAAAUUCUAGUAUUGCAUUUGAAUAUGGUAUAUCAGUUGUCAAUCAUUAAAACUCUCUUGAUUUUGACAGAUAUAGUGUACUAUUUGAAUAGUAAGACAUUUUAAGACAAUGGGUUGAUUUACCAAACUUGUAAAUCACAGUGACUCGAUAACAAAUAAUUGUUACAUCAAGUAGUCCUGGUCAGUGUGUUAGGAAGUAUUUCUGUCAACACAAAAAAAAUAUUGUUCUGUCAAUUCGCUCUAAUAGUUUGUGAUAGCUUCGACUGCUUUAUGAAUCUCCUAGUGACAAACGAACUGACGCUACACCAAGCUUUUUAUAUAUAUUUUAAGCUACUUAAAUAUACAUACAAAUUUUAUUACCUAAAAUCUACAUCCAACCCUUACCAUAUAACCCCGUUGACUUAAAAGUUCCGGUCUUGUAAUUUUUAUAUUAUAAGUUUAUAUAAUAAACUAGCGACCCGCCCUGGCUUCGCACGAGUGCAAUGGUAAUACUAAAUAUAAAAUAAAUAUAAUAUAUGCGCAAAAAAAAUGUGUUUAUUUAGACCACAUUAGAAACUUCUAAAACUAUCAGUGUUCUUCUACUAUAUUAUGCAUCUAUUAUACAUAUAAACAUACCUCUGGAAUCACUCUAUUUAUUAUAGAAAACCGCAUCAAAAUCCGUUGCGUAAUUGUAAAGAUCAUACAGACAGCGGGUAGCGACUUUGUUUUAUACUAUGUAGUAAUAUUUUAAGUAAGAUAACAAAUUUGGUGACAAUUUCUUUUCAAAUUCAUGUGAUUUAUUUCAAUUAGACUGUAUUUAUUCCAUCCAGUUUGAUUUGUGAAAUUAUUGUAAUUAUUAAGAUUAAUUUAGAAAACAAAAAGAUAAUUUUGUUGUAAAAUGAACUUACAUGUUUGAUGGUAUAUUUAAUAUUAUUUUAUAAUUUAGUGUCAUGUAAUAUCUAUGUAUAAAUGAUGAAAUAGAACAACCAAGGCAGCUGUGGAACAUUUUAAAGCUUCUAAUAUGAAAGAGUUGAGUUACCGGUAUACCAAGUGCUAAGCAUCUUUAUAAUUAAAAUAUCUUAUUGAAAAUCGCAAUAAUUUUAGUUAAGACUCAGUAUGGAUAUGCAUACAUAUACUUGUAUUGAGAAUAGCAGGUACGGACUUAACUCUUCCAUAUACAUAUCCAAAAUACUUUAUUUUGUACAUGAUAGUAGACGUUUGCAUUUGUAUAUUUUAUUAUUUUAUAGCGUAAUUCGCAAUUUUGUAUAGAAAUAAUGUUUGAUCUAUGAAAUAAUCGUAAUUUAUGUAUUCUUUGCAAAACCCCAAUGUUUUAUAGUGAUUUUUGUUGCAAUAAAGGUGUUUAAUAAAAUCUUUAGUUUAUUUUUUUUCUAAGAUGUUAUUCCCCUUUUCCCUACUUAUUUUGAGGUAAAUAGGUAAAAAAUAAAGAAGACUUAUUUUAAUUCACUUUAUUUUUAGAGAAAUAAACGUUUUUUAAAAUCCCCCUUUUUUACAUAAGUCUACGGUAAGGACAUAAUGUUUUUAACACGAACUUCAUUAAACCUGUACAAUUAAAACUAUAUAAUGAAAGGUUAAUAUUUAAAUACCCCCCUUCCACCUAAAUAUUUUACAGAAUAAAAUAAAAAAUAUUAAAUACUUAUUUCUUUAACAAUGUAUUCCUACAUAAAAAUCAUGUAUACUGGCCAGUGAUGACACCUAAAGUCUAUUAACGUCAUAGCAAUACAA
Molecule: unclassified non-coding RNA, 4619 nt
Filed under: Melitaea cinxia (Glanville fritillary)
Lineage: Eukaryota; Metazoa; Arthropoda; Insecta; Lepidoptera; Nymphalidae
Description: misc RNA ENSMCXG00005004779.1
Source: RNAcentral